GGGCCCGCACAAGCGGUGGAGCAUGUGGUUUAAUUCGAUGCAACGCGAAGAACCUUACCAGGGUUUGACAUAGUACGAAGUUUUUGAAAAAAACCACCUUCGGGAACGUACAUACAGGUGGUGCAUGGCUGUCGUCAGCUCGUGUCGUGAGAUGUUGGGUUAAGUCCCGCAACGAGCGUAACCCUUGUUUUUAGUUGCCUUUCGAGGAUAUUUAGAAAGACUGCCGAUUAUAAAUCGGAGGAAGGUAAGGACGACGUCAAGUCAUCAUGCCCCUUACACUCUGGGCUACACACGUGCUACAUUGGGUAGAACGUAGGGUUGGUAACUGGGACUAAGUCG
This 339-nucleotide ribosomal RNA is filed under the name uncultured bacterium. RNAcentral's name for it is "bacterial SSU rRNA". It matches the Rfam family "Bacterial small subunit ribosomal RNA", at positions 917 to 1267 of the family's 1533-position model. The record is from RNAcentral.